Myotis brandtii (Brandt's bat) is the source of this 299-nucleotide long non-coding RNA. RefSeq lists it as uncharacterized. The transcript has 3 exons. NCBI's taxonomy places the organism in Eukaryota, Metazoa, Chordata, Mammalia, Chiroptera, Vespertilionidae. The record is from RefSeq and is a predicted model, not a curated record.
GUUGGAAAUUCAAGAUCCAAGUGUCAUUAUGCUUGGUUUCUUCUGAGGCCUCCUUGGCUUGCAGAUAGCCACCCUCCUUCUGUUUUUUCACCUGGUCAUCCCUCUGCAUAAAAGAGCAUAUGUUCUUCCAUUAGACCUGGACUAUCCAAUACAGUAGUUUCUACUACAUGCAGCUGUUGAACAAUGAAAAUGUGACUACUACAAAUUGUUAUGCCCUGAAGUGCAUAGUGGAGUUCAAAGACAGUAGCAAAAAUCAUCUUAUAUUUCCCUAUCAAUGUUCCCUCUGACCCAUUACUGGC